CGAUAAUUAACGGAAAGUGAGAAAUUCAUUCGCAAUAUGAUAAAACGAUUUGCACAUCUUUCUUACGUUCGUUCUACUUAAGUACAUUGUUAUGGAACGGAGAACGAUCGAUCGAAGUACUUCGUCGAUUAGAUCACCAGAUGUCCUUGUGAAAUUGAACUAACGAGAUUUCCUUCGUCACUUCUAUUCCCUACGAUUUUUCAUUUUAUCUUAUAUCUUUGUUAAUUCUUCUUCUUUAUUCGUUCCUUCCUUUUCGUCAUUUGCUGUUUAAAAAUUCAACGCCAUAUAUAAGUUAUACGAUCAAAAUUUUCCUUGACAAAAAUUCUCGUUAACGAGCAUACCUAACCUAAAAAUCUACGUCAUUUUUUCUAGUUAUCUCCAACAAGCUUGCAACGAAAAAGUAUGUUCAAAAAAAGAAAAAAGAUGAAGGGGAGAAAAAUGAAGAAAAAGAAACUGACGUCGCGCAAGCUAAUUUUAGUGGACCGUGUUCCCACGAUGAUACACGGGAACGCCCUCAGAGAAUAAAUGAAAGUGCAGAAACGAUGGAUUACCCUUUUGGAUGUGAUUGAUCACGAAGACAAUGGAUUCCUUUAUUGUGGCAACAUCGUCGAUGGCCGGUCAAGUUUGGGGAUCGACGGCAGGUGAAAGCAAGGCAGAAUAUACAUUCCUCCACGGUGUCCAGCCUCUAGUAGCGCUUUUUCCGUGUAAUUACUUUAAUAAUUCGUAUCGACUUCCACUGGGAACUCCUUUCGCUGGACACGCAAGUUGGCUCGUUUUCUUGGUCUCUAUAUUUGCUAGGUAUACACAACUAUCGAUUGAACGUGGAAUUUAGGACACCUUGGUUGACUUUUCCUUACCGGAUAUUUGUUGGAAAACCGCGUUUACAAUUACACGUAUAAUCAGAAAUCUUGCGUGAUGAACUUCCAUUUUCUUCGUUACCUUGCUUGAAGCAGAAAAAAAAGAACACGAUUUGUCCUAGGACUCUAGGGAAACACUAAGGGAAGUAAUGAAAUUAUAGAGGAUUCACGCCGGAUAAGCAAACAUGACCGAGAAAUUCUCGAAAGACUUGGUUCGAUCAUUUUCAGAAACGUUAUUGGUUAAAAGAUAUUAUUACAAGAAAAAAAUAACCCUGUUUAUCAUGUAAAUUCAAUUGUUGCAAUCAAUCGUUGUAAUUAUUCUAACCUCAAAAGUAUCCACAAAUUUCAUCCACGCUUCUAUCUCAAUUAAAACGCAUUAAAUACAAA
Long non-coding RNA from Apis florea (little honeybee), 1244 nucleotides. RefSeq lists it as uncharacterized. The record is from RefSeq and is a predicted model, not a curated record. NCBI's taxonomy places the organism in Eukaryota, Metazoa, Arthropoda, Insecta, Hymenoptera, Apidae.